GAGUUCUUGGCCUAGAGCAUUUCACCCCUC
This 30-nucleotide non-coding RNA is filed under the name Homo sapiens (human). The record is from RNAcentral. Lineage: Eukaryota; Metazoa; Chordata; Mammalia; Primates; Hominidae.